Molecule: unclassified non-coding RNA, 322 nt
Filed under: Hevea brasiliensis (rubber tree)
Lineage: Eukaryota; Viridiplantae; Streptophyta; Magnoliopsida; Malpighiales; Euphorbiaceae
Source: RNAcentral
AAAGACUAUCAAGGGAUGUGGAUAGAAAUGACUUCUAAAAAAAAUAAUAGAUUGUCAGUAGUAAUCAGUGUUAAUGGGAGAAUGAUGUUGAAUAAAGAUCCAGAAGAAGUAACUCUAAUAAAUAGUGCCAAUUUGUUGAGAGAAAAUGUAGAGAUGACACUUCCUAAAAAAAAAAGAUUUCUAGAUGUCCAAGAAAUGUUUUUACUUAACUUCCCAUACAUGGUCUUUGAUGCAGGCUAUUAGAAUUUAUUAAAACAUUUGAAAAGAAUAAACGCACUUUCAUACAAUUUAAGUCUAAGAGGAUAAAGAUCAGUCAAGUAGU